GACGAACGCUGGCGGCGUGCUUAACACAUGCAAGUCGAACGGAAAGGCCCUGCUUUUGUGGGGUGCUCGAGUGGCGAACGGGUGAGUAACACGUGAGUAACCUGCCCUUGACUUUGGGAUGACUUCAGGAAACUGGGGCUAAUACCGGAUAGGAGCUCCUGCUGCAUGGUGGGGGUUGGAAAGUUUCGGCGGUUGGGGAUGGACUCGCGGCUUAUCAGCUUGUUGGUGGGGUAGUGGCUUACCAAGGCUUUGACGGGUAGCCGGCCUGAGAGGGUGACCGGCCACAUUGGGACUAAGAGACAGCCCAGACUCCUACGGGAGGCAGCAGGGGGGAAUAUUGCACAAUCGGCGGAAGCCUGAUGCAGCAACGCCGCGUGCGGGAUGACGUCCUUCUGGGUGUAAACCGCUUUCGCCUGUGACGAAGCGUGAGUGACGGUAAUGAGUAAAGAAGCACCGGCUAACUACGUG
Molecule: ribosomal RNA, 468 nt
Filed under: uncultured bacterium
Lineage: Bacteria
Description: partial 16S ribosomal RNA
Rfam family: Bacterial small subunit ribosomal RNA
Source: RNAcentral